UUGCAAACUAAAGAUGGCGACCGGCGCACGGGUGAGUAACACGUAUCCAACCUGCCGAUAACUCGGGGAUAGCCUUUCGAAAGAAAGAUUAAUGUCCGAUGGUAUAUUAAAACCGCAUGGUUUUACUAUUAAAGAAUUUCGGUUAUCGAUGGGGAUGCGUUCCAUUAGUUUGUUGGCGGGGUAACGGCCCACCAGGACUACGAUGGAUAGGGGUUCUGAGAGGAAGGUCCCCCACAUUGGAACUGAGACACGGUCCAA
Molecule: ribosomal RNA, 258 nt
Filed under: uncultured bacterium
Lineage: Bacteria
Description: partial 16S ribosomal RNA
Rfam family: Bacterial small subunit ribosomal RNA
Source: RNAcentral